Molecule: ribosomal RNA, 565 nt
Filed under: uncultured Glomus
Lineage: Eukaryota; Fungi; Glomeromycota; Glomeromycetes; Glomerales; Glomeraceae
Description: SSU rRNA
Rfam family: Eukaryotic small subunit ribosomal RNA
Source: RNAcentral
AAUUGGAGGGCAAGUCUGGUGCCAGCAGCCGCGGUAAUUCCAGCUCCAAUAGCGUAUAUUAAAGUUGUUGCAGUUAAAAAGCUCGUAGUUGAAUUUCGGGAUUGACGUGAUGGUCGUGCCUUACGGGGUAUGAACUGUUGCUGUUGAUUUCUCACCUUCUGGAGAAACUUGAUGUCCUUAAUUGGGUGUCUUGCGGAUCCAGGACCUUUACCUUGAAAAAAUUAGAGUGUUUAAAGCAGGCAUUUUGCUCGAAUACAUUAGCAUGGAAUAAUAGAAUAGGACGGCAUGGUUCUAUUUUGUUGGUUUCUAGGAUCACCGUAAUGAUUAAUAGGGAUAGUUGGGGGCAUUAGCAUUCAAUUGUCAGAGGUGAAAUUCUUGGAUUUAUUGAAGACUAACUACUGCGAAAGCAUUUGCCAAGGAUGUUUUCAUUAAUCAAGAACGAAAGUUAGGGGAUCGAAGACGAUCAGAUACCGUCGUAGUCUUAACCAUAAACUAUGCCGACUAGGAAUCAGACGAUGUUAAUUUUUUAAUGACUCGUUUGGCACCUUACGGGAAACCAAAGUGU